RNAcentral lists this ribosomal RNA (429 nucleotides) under uncultured bacterium. RNAcentral's name for it is "bacterial SSU rRNA". It matches the Rfam family "Bacterial small subunit ribosomal RNA", at positions 355 to 775 of the family's 1533-position model. The record is from RNAcentral.
UGGGGAAUUGUUCGCAAUGGGCGCAAGCCUGACGACGCAACGCCGCGUGGAGGACGAAGGCUUUCGGGUCGUAAACUCCUGUCGUGCGGGACGAAUGCUCAGACGCUGAAUAGGCGUGUGAGGUGACGGUACCGCGAAAGGAAGCCCCGGCUAACUCCGUGCCAGCAGCCGCGGUAAUACGGGGGGGGCAAGCGUUGUUCGGAAUUACUGGGCGUAAAGGGCUCGUAGGCGGCCGCUUAAGUCAGACGUGAAAUCCCUCAGCUUAACUGGGGCACUGCGUCUGAGACUGAAUGGCUUGAAUCCGGGAGAGGGAUGCGGAAUUCCAGGUGUAGCGGUGAAAUGCGUAGAUAUCUGGAGGAACACCGGUGGCGAAGGCGGCAUCCUGGACCGGUAUUGACGCUGAGGAGCGAAAGCCAGGGGAGCAAACGG